AUAUUAGAGGACGGAACGGGCAGCCGUCACCCAUUGUUAGGAGAUGCGGGAGUGUCGCCCCGCCUAAUAU
RNAcentral lists this non-coding RNA (70 nucleotides) under uncultured Agathobaculum sp. RNAcentral describes it as "skipping-rope RNA". It matches the Rfam family "skipping-rope RNA". Rfam says of the family: Firmicutes, Fusobacteria, AlphaProteobacteria, Spirochaetes. Downstream gene Lineage: Bacteria; Bacillati; Bacillota; Clostridia; Eubacteriales; Butyricicoccaceae. The record is from RNAcentral.